RNAcentral lists this ribosomal RNA (2009 nucleotides) under human gut metagenome. Its description in RNAcentral is "bacterial LSU rRNA". It matches the Rfam family "Bacterial large subunit ribosomal RNA", at positions 482 to 2482 of the family's 2925-position model. The record is from RNAcentral.
GACCGAUAGCGAACCAGUACCGUGAGGGAAAGGUGAAAAGCACCCCGAGAGGGGAGUGAAACAGUACCUGAAACCGUGCGCCCACAAGCAGUCGGAGCAGCCUUUGCGCUGUGACGGCGUGCCUUUUGUAGAAUGAGCCAGCGAGUUGCGGUGUGCGGCGAGGUUAAGUUUGGAAACGAGCCGCAGCGAAAGCGAGCCUUUAAGAUGGCGAGUGAGUCGCACGCUGCAGACGCGAAGCCGGGUGAGCUAUCCUGGGGCAGGCUGAAGCGGGGGUAAGACCCCGUGGAGGGCCGAACCCACUUCGGUUGAAAACGGAGGGGAUGACCCCAGGAUAGGGGUGAAAGGCCAAUCAAACCCGGAGAUAUCUCGUUCUCCCCGAAAUAGCUUUAGGGCUAGCCUCGGCCGUUAACCCGCGGUGGUAGAGCCACCGGAUCGACGAGGGGGCUUCACCGCCUACCGACUCGAACCGAACUCCGAAUGCCGCGGGUCGAGAGGCCGGGAGUCAGAGGGCGUGGGCUAAGCUGCGCGCUCGAGAGGGAAACAGCCCAGACCGCCCGCUAAGGUCCCCAAGUCAUCGCUGAGUGGCAAAGGAUGUGCGUCUGCCCAGACAACCAGGAUGUUGGCUUAGAAGCAGCCAUGCAUUUAAAGAGUGCGUAACAGCUCACUGGUCGAGUGGACAUGCGCCGACAAUUCACGGGGCUAAGCGAUGCACCGAAGCGGCGGACUGAGAAUUCAGUGGUAGGGGAGCUCUCCGCGGGGGGCGAAGCAGCAGGGCGACCUGCUGUGGACCGCGCGGAGGUGAGAAUGCUGGCAUGAGUAACGAGACCAGGGCGAGAAACCCUGGCGCCGUGAGCCUAAGGGUUCCUGGGCGAGGCUAAUCCCCCCAGGGUCAGUCGGGAGCUAAGGCGAGGCCGAGAGGCGUAGCCGAUGCGCAGCGGGCAGACAUUCCCGCACCGCCGACGGCGCGGCAUUACCGAUGGGGCGACGGAGAAGGGUAGCCGGGCGGGGUUCUGGACGUCCCCGUGAAAGCGCGUAGGGCGCGCAGCGUGGAAAUCAGCUGCGCACGGGGCCUGAGACGCGAGACGAAGCGAGCGAGCGAAGCCGGUGAGCCCAUGCUUCCGAGAAAAACCUCUAGGGAGUGCCGUCGGCGCCCGUACCAAAACCGACACAGGUGGGCGGGUAGAACAUACCGAGGCGAUCGGGAGAACCACGGUUAAGGAACUCGGCAUACUGGCCCCGUAACUUCGGGAGAAGGGGCGCCGCCGGCUGUGAACGCCCUCGCGGCGGGAGCGGCUGGCGGCCGCAGCGAAACGGCCCAAGCGACUGUUUAUCAAAAACACAGGACUCUGCAAAGCGGUAACGCGACGUAUAGGGUCUGACGCCUGCCCGGUGCCGGAAGGUUACGCGGAUGCGUCAGCCGAAAGGCGAAGCGCUGAAGCCAAGCCCCGGUAAACGGCGGCCGUAACUAUAACGGUCCUAAGGUAGCGAAAUUCCUUGUCGGGUAAGUUCCGACCUGCACGAAUGGCGUAACGAUUUGGGCGCUGUCUCAACCGUGGACCCGGUGAAAUUGUACUGUUCGUGAAGAUGCGAACUACCCGCGGAAGGACGGAAAGACCCCGUGAACCUUUACUGCAGCUUGGCAUUGGCAUCUGGUACGGCGCGUAGAGGAUAGGCGGGAGCCUUUGAAGCGGGGGCGCAAGCCCCCGUGGAGGCGACCUUGGAAUACCGCCCUCGUCGUGCCGGCUGCCUAACGCGCGGCCGUGAUCCGGCGCGCGGACCGUGCCAGGCGGGUAGUUUGACUGGGGCGGUCGCCUCCCAAAACGUAACGGAGGCGCGCGAAAGGUCCGCUCAGGACGGUCGGCAACCGUCCCGAGAGCGCAAGAGUGCAAGCGGGCUUGACUGCGAGAGAGACACCUCGAGCAGGGACGAAAGUCGGUUCUAGUGAUCCGGCGGCACAGAGUGGAAUGGCCGUCGCUCAACGGAUAAAAGGUACUCCGGGGAUAACAGGC